CGGCGAGUGAAGCGGCAACAGCUCAAAUUUGAAAUCUGGCGUCUUCGGCGUCCGAGUUGUAAUUUGCAGAGGGCGCUUUGGCAUUGGCAGCGGUCCAAGUUCCUUGGAACAGGACGUCACAGAGGGUGAGAAUCCCGUACGUGGUCGCUAGCCUUUACCGUGUAAAGCCCCUUCGACGAGUCGAGUUGUUUGGGAAUGCAGCUCUAAAUGGGAGGUAAAUUUCUUCUAAAGCUAAAUACUGGCCAGAGACCGAUAGCGCACAAGUAGAGUGAUCGAAAGAUGAAAAGCACUUUGGAAAGAGAGUUAAAAAGCACGUGAAAUUGUUGAAAGGGAAGCGCUUGCAGCCAGACUUGCCUGUAGUUGCUCAUCCGGGUUUUUACCCGGUGCACUCUUCUAUAGGCAGGCCAGCAUCAGUUUGGGCGGUUGGAUAAAGGUCUCUGUCAUGUACCUCUCUUCGGGGAGAACUUAUAGGGGAGACGACAUGCAACCAGCCUGGACUGAGGUCCGCGCAUCUGCUAGGAUGCUGGCGUAAUGGCUGUAAGCGGCCCGUCUUGAAACACGGACCAAGGAGUCUAACAUCUAUG
RNAcentral lists this ribosomal RNA (584 nucleotides) under Didymella glomerata. RNAcentral's name for it is "partial large subunit ribosomal RNA". It matches the Rfam family "Eukaryotic large subunit ribosomal RNA", at positions 87 to 686 of the family's 3401-position model. Lineage: Eukaryota; Fungi; Ascomycota; Dothideomycetes; Pleosporales; Didymellaceae. The record is from RNAcentral.